Molecule: ribosomal RNA, 446 nt
Filed under: uncultured Eubacteriales bacterium
Lineage: Bacteria; Bacillati; Bacillota; Clostridia; Eubacteriales
Description: bacterial SSU rRNA
Rfam family: Bacterial small subunit ribosomal RNA
Source: RNAcentral
UGGAGCAUGUGGUUUAAUUCGACGCAACGCGAAGAACUUACCAGGGCUUUGACCAUCCCUCUGACAGUCCCUUAACCGGGACCUUCUUCGGACAGAGGAGACAGGUGGUGCAUGGUUGUCGUCAGCUCGUGUCGUGAGAUGUUGGGUUAAGUCCCGCAAUGAGCGCAACCCUUGUCUUUAGUUGCCAUCAUUCAGUUGGGCACUCUAGAGAGACUGCCGAGGACAACUCGGAGGAAGGUGGGGAUGACGUCAAAUCAUCAUGCCCCUUAUGUCCUGGGCUACACACGUGCUACAAUGGCUGGUACAGAGAGACGCAAGACCGCGAGGUGGAGCAAAUCUCAAAAACCAGUCCCAGUUCGGAUUGCAGGCUGCAACUCGCCUGCAUGAAGUCGGAGUUGCUAGUAAUCGCAGAUCAGAAUGCUGCGGUGAAUGCGUUCCCGGGUCUU